RNAcentral lists this ribosomal RNA (253 nucleotides) under uncultured bacterium. Its description in RNAcentral is "partial 16S ribosomal RNA". It matches the Rfam family "Bacterial small subunit ribosomal RNA", at positions 524 to 776 of the family's 1533-position model. The record is from RNAcentral.
UACAGAGGGGGCAAGCGUUGUUCGGAAUUACUGGGCGUAAAGGGCGCGUAGGCGGCCUGCUAAGUCGAACGUGAAAUCCCUGGGCUCAACCCAGGAACUGCGUCCGAUACUGGUUGGCUUGAAUCCGGGAGAGGGAUGUGGAAUUCCAGGUGUAGCGGUGAAAUGCGUAGAUAUCUGGAGGAACACCGGUGGCGAAGGCGACAUCUUGGACCGGUAUUGACGCUGAGGCGCGAUAGCCAGGGGAGCAAACGGG